CAAUAGCGUAUAUUAAAGCUGUUGCGGUUAAAAAGCUCGUAGUUGGAUUUCUGUCAAGUACAACUGGUCCGCCCUCCGGGUGAGCACAUAGUUUGGUCUUGACAUCUUGCUGGAAGCUGUUGCUGCACUUGGCUGUGUGGCGCAGUGUUCAGCACUUUCACUUUGAGGAAAUUGGAGUGUUUCAAGCAGGCACAUGCCUUUGGACACAGUAGCAUGGAAUAAUUAGAUUGGGCUUUUGCUCCAAUUUGUCGGUUUCUGGAGCUGAGGUGAGUAUUAAUGGGGAUUGUUGGGGGCAUCCGAAUUUAGCCGUCAGAGGUGAAAUUCUUGGAUCUGCUAAAGACGGACAACUGCGAAAGCGUUUGCCCAGGAUGUUUNCAUUGA
RNAcentral lists this ribosomal RNA (381 nucleotides) under uncultured eukaryote. RNAcentral describes it as "partial 18S ribosomal RNA". It matches the Rfam family "Eukaryotic small subunit ribosomal RNA", at positions 592 to 976 of the family's 1831-position model. The record is from RNAcentral.